This 16-nucleotide ribosomal RNA is filed under the name Diploschistes muscorum. RNAcentral's name for it is "partial 28S large subunit ribosomal RNA". The record is from RNAcentral. Lineage: Eukaryota; Fungi; Ascomycota; Lecanoromycetes; Ostropales; Graphidaceae.
GACCUCGGAUCAGACA